CCUACGGGAGGCAGCAGUGAGUAAUAUUUGUCAAUGGGCGCUAGCCUGAACCAGCCAAGUCGCGUGAAGGAUGACUGCCCUAUGGGUUGUAAACUUCUUUUAUAUGGGAAUAAAGUGCAGUAUGUAUACUGCUUUGCAUGUACCUUAUUAAUUCGGAUCGGCUAACUCCGUGCCAGCAGCCGCGGUAAUACGGAGGCUCCGAGCGUUAUCCGGAUUUAUUGGGUUUAAAGGGAGCGUAGGCGGGUUGUUAAGUCAGUUGUGAAAGUUUGCGGCUCAACCGUAAAAUUGCAGUUGAUACUGGCAGCCUUGAGUACAGUAGAGGUAGGCGGAAUUCGUGGUGUAGCAGUGAAAUGCUUAGAUAUCACGAAGAACUCCGAUUGCGAAGGCAGCCUGCUGGACUGUAACUGACGCUGAUGCUCGAAAGUGUGGGUAGCAAACAGGAUUAGAUACCCCAGUAGUC
RNAcentral lists this ribosomal RNA (460 nucleotides) under uncultured bacterium. RNAcentral's name for it is "partial 16S ribosomal RNA". It matches the Rfam family "Bacterial small subunit ribosomal RNA", at positions 338 to 795 of the family's 1533-position model. The record is from RNAcentral.